Molecule: small RNA, 674 nt
Filed under: Drosophila pseudoobscura pseudoobscura
Lineage: Eukaryota; Metazoa; Arthropoda; Insecta; Diptera; Drosophilidae
Description: GA30860
Source: RNAcentral
GCAAUACGUUGGCUGUUACAGAAAUUAAAAAAUGUUUCCUAAUAAAAGCAAAAAAAUGAAUUUUCUAAAAUUAAAUCGCAAAUUGUUAUUCGUCAUUAUGGGUAUCUGGCUGAUAAUCGUUGGCUGCAACUGGUGCCUGCAAAAAUGGGUAGCACUGAAACGGCGACUGAAUAACGAAUGGGCAGCAUUCUGUCAGAAGUUUAUAGCAGCCUAUUGGUUCCUAAAUGGCUAUAUACUCAUAUACCUAUGGAUAUUUCGUUACUAAAACAGACUCUAGGAUAUCUUUCGCUGAAAAGCAUCGCACAACUCAAAGAUGCAAUAAAUACACGGUUUUGGGGCAGAUCCUCCUAACCCAAAAAGGGAGCUACGAUUUGAUCUAUCGCUCAUCGACGAUGGAAAAGAGGAAACAACAACAAAAUCAGCGGCGCAUCUCAGUAGAAUACACUUUUAUCUCGAACACUCAACUGAGAAAUAAGUAUCUAAACAAAGAAGAAGUAUCUUAAAGUUACAGAGAUGCAGAAACACACACAAAUUAGUUGAAAGUAUCCAAACAGCUGCAAGAUAUUGUAUCUGAGGCAAAAACACAACCAAGAAAGAUGCUGUUGUACAUAACAAAAACAUAACACAAUGUUUGAAACAGUAAAAUGAAUCUAUUGAAUGACUGUUUAUCUGUA